AUGUUAUUUUGCAUAUGUAAAAAGCAGUAAAAAAACUGUAAAUUUAUAUUUAUUUAUAAAUAUUUAACUAUACGUUUCAUGUUUUUGACAUCUAUUGAACUUAUCUAUUGAACAAAUAUGUAUUCACGAGCAUCAAAUAUUUAUGGAUCAUCGCGAAGUGCUAGGUUGCGUACGAUCUUCGAAGUCAAGCAGUGUCGACAGCGGUUCAGAGUUGGAUGGGUGACCGCAGAAGUUUUAUUAGGCAAUGCCAAAUGUCCUGUUUUGGAUGUCCAAUGAACGUCUGAAGUUGUGAACAACGAGCGUUCAUAGGACGUCCACUGGACGAAUCUUAUUUGGUUACUCAACAGAUGUCCCGAUGUCCAAGCUCGGACGUCCAGUGGACGUUCAAUGAACGUUCAUGUGCUGUCUGGGAAGUGUCACUCUAUCUUGCAAAGCAAUAAAUUUAUCGUUAAAGUUAAAACUAACAGAUAUAUUGUCAAACCUAUUAUUGACAAAAUACAUAGCGAUAUGUUCCCUGUUUUGGAUUCUGCCAAUUAUUCUUACAUCAUUCGAACAACUGUUCUUCUUAAAAUUUAAAAAAACGUAAAGAAUAACUGAAGGAUAAUAUAACUUUAUAAAAGCUGAAGAAAUUUUCACAAGGAUUAGAACAGUAAUCUAAAAAAGAUGGUUGUACAAUACCUUUAAGAGCCACACAGUUACAAUACAAUAUUAAAAUAAAAUUAUAACAUUUGUCAUUAUUCUCUUACCUAGCCUGCCAUAAGAUAAUGACAUACUUGAAGAACUAGGAAGUACCUUUGGAUAAUGAAUUGCUUUUGAUCCUUUUGAUAUGAAUUGCUUUGCCAAUUCUUUAUACAUAUAAUGGUUUGCUGAGCUUAAACAGGGAUGAACUUCAGUGAAUUUUUUAUCAAUAGCAUACACCAGCUUACAAGAAAGAGAAUUUUGGUGUAACAAUUUUUUAAUAAUGUAUUAAUAAAAUUUCUUACUGUUUCUCUUUAAAAUUCGAAUAAUAAAUAUGAUAAUAAUGAUAUGAUAAUCUCAUCAAAUUGCUUGUUCUUUAAAUCUUUUGCAAAGGUUUUCUUGGAACAAGUUAGAUUGUAAUAGAUACUUUUUCACACAAAAAAAUAAACUGUUCACUUCAUCCUAUAA
RNAcentral lists this long non-coding RNA (1146 nucleotides) under Monomorium pharaonis (pharaoh ant). RNAcentral describes it as "uncharacterized LOC118645883, transcript variant X3". Lineage: Eukaryota; Metazoa; Arthropoda; Insecta; Hymenoptera; Formicidae. The record is from RNAcentral.